Molecule: unclassified non-coding RNA, 864 nt
Filed under: Hevea brasiliensis (rubber tree)
Lineage: Eukaryota; Viridiplantae; Streptophyta; Magnoliopsida; Malpighiales; Euphorbiaceae
Source: RNAcentral
AUGUGAAGUGAAAUUCAUAUACUUAUAAAGUAUAUUUUCAAUUAUUGCGUUUGUUUUCUAGCAGAACACCAGAAGUUGUAGAAAGUUCCUUUUUUUUUUAAAGCAAGCAAAAAGCAGAAAGUUCAACUGAAAAGAGCCUUAGAAGAAAAAAAAAGUAGAGAUUUUUAAAGAUUGUAUGCAUGAUAAUGAAACAGAGAUUAGAUGAGGAACUUGUUAAUAUCCCACAUCGGCUUGGGAAAAGAUAAUGUGCCCCUUGUAAAGCCUUAGGCGCUCCUCUCCUUGAACUAGCUUUUGGGGGUGAAUUACGCUCCGUCCAUUUUCUUAUCAUGAUAUUAGAGUUUCCCCAACUAAUGUUAGGCUUCCAGUAAGUGUUUCACACUCUAGGUGUUCAGUCCUGGGCAUGAGGAAAAGGGGGUGUUAAUAUCUUACAUCGGUUUGUGAAGAGGUAAUUUGCCCCUUAUGAAGCCUUGGAUACUCUUCCCCUCUUGUAUUAGCUUUUGGGAGUAAGUUAGGCCUAGUUUAUUUUCUUAUCAAAACUCAAUGGAAGUAAUAAAGGGAAAAAAGAAUGGUUACACUUACACGUACAUGCACACGUGUGUAUAUUCUAACAGAUUCAGAUAUAUUUUGGCCUAAAAUACUUAUAUAUGGGAAGCUUAGGCAAUCCAUCAGCAACUGAUUUUCAUUUGCAGACUUGCUAUGUGAUGAUUGUUUUUUCAUGUGACAUGGUAUUAGCCACUAAUAAAAUGAUGGAAAUACUGUACCGCUACAUGUUUACCUUAUGAUGCUUGAAAUUUUCUACCAAUAUGUUUAACAUUUCAUGCUCUUAUUUUCCUUUCUGCAGGACGUGUACUACUGUUUCAUGGA